RNAcentral lists this ribosomal RNA (200 nucleotides) under uncultured Staphylococcus sp. Its description in RNAcentral is "partial 16S ribosomal RNA". It matches the Rfam family "Bacterial small subunit ribosomal RNA", at positions 140 to 334 of the family's 1533-position model. The record is from RNAcentral. Lineage: Bacteria; Bacillati; Bacillota; Bacilli; Caryophanales; Staphylococcaceae.
GGGAUAACUUCGGGAAACCGGAGCUAAUACCGGAUAAUAUUUUGAACCGCAUGGUUCAAAAGUGAAAGACGGUCUUGCUGUCACUUAUAGAUGGAUCCGCGCUGCAUUAGCUAGUUGGUAAGGUAACGGCUUACCAAGGCAACGAUGCAUAGCCGACCUGAGAGGGUGAUCGGCCACACUGGAACUGAGACACGGUCCAG